CUGACUGCUAUCGGAUUGAUACUAAGCCAUGCGAGUCAUUGUAGUAAUACAAGGCAGACGGCUCAGUAACGCGUAGUCACCUAACCUAUGGACGGGAAUAACCUCGGGAAACUGAGUAUAAUGCCCGAUAGAACAUUAUGCCUGGAAUGGUUUAUGUUCCAAAUGAUUUAUCGCCGUAGGAUGGGACUGCGGCCUAUCAGUUUGUUGGUGAGGUAAUGGCCCACCAAGACUAUUACAGGUACGGGCUCUGAGAGGAGUGGCCCGGAGAUGGGUACUGAGACACGGACCCAGGCCCUAUGGGGCGCAGCAGGCGAGAAAACUUUGCAAUGUGCGAAAGCACGACAAGGUUAAUCCGAGUGGUUUCUGCUAAAGGAACCUUUUGUCAGUCCUAGAAACACUGAUGAAUAAGGGGUGGGCAAGUUCUGGUGUCAGCCGCCGCGGUAAAACCAGCACCUCAAGUGGUCAGGAUGAUUAUUGGGCCUAAAGCAUCCGUAGCCGGCUCUGUAAGUUUUCGGUUAAAUCUGUACGCUUAACAUACAGGCUGCCGGGAAUACUGCAGAGCUAGGGAGUGGGAGAGGUAGACGGUACUCGGUAGGAAGGGGUAAAAUCCCUUUGAUCUAUUGAUGACCACCUGUGGCGAAGGCGGUCUACCAGAACACGUCCGACGGUGAGGGAUGAAAGCUGGGGGAGCAAACCGGAUUAGAUACCCGGGUAG
RNAcentral lists this ribosomal RNA (715 nucleotides) under uncultured marine archaeon. RNAcentral's name for it is "bacterial SSU rRNA". It matches the Rfam family "Archaeal small subunit ribosomal RNA", at positions 23 to 744 of the family's 1478-position model. The record is from RNAcentral.